Molecule: long non-coding RNA, 1242 nt
Filed under: Astyanax mexicanus (Mexican tetra)
Lineage: Eukaryota; Metazoa; Chordata; Actinopteri; Characiformes; Acestrorhamphidae
Description: lncRNA (ENSAMXG00005002904.1)
Source: RNAcentral
UGGUACAGAGACAAUGAUCUUUCGAAAGAAGUGACAGAGUACCGCAUGACUGUGCAUGUGUUUGGAAACAGCCCCUCUCCGGCAGUGGCGAUAUAUGGGCUAAGAAGGGCUGCCCAUGCUGGAGAAAAGGAACAUGGCACAGAAGCAAUGCAAUUCGUCACCAGGAACUUUUAUGUAGAUGAUGGUCUGAUUUCACUCCCCACUGAGACAGAUGCAAUCAGUCUCCUACAAAAAACACAGGAGAUGUUAGCAGAGUCCAAUUUGCGCCUACACAAAAUUGCCUCAAACAGUAGCAAGGUAAUGCAGGCAUUCUUAACUGAUGAUCUAGCGAAAGACCUCAAGGACUUAGACUUGGGAGCAGACUCUCUACCUCUUCAGCGUAGUCUUGGAUUGAGCUGGAGUCUGGAAUCCGAUGUCUUCAUCUUCCAAGUUUCCAGGGAGGAAAAACCCUUUACCAAGCGAGGGGUUAUCUCCACCGUAAACAGUUUAUACGACCCGCUGGGUUUUGUCGCUCCCAUCACUGUGCAAGGAAAAGCUCUCAUCCGAGAACUUACCAAAGAAUCAUGCGACUGGGAUGACCCUCUUCCAUCUGUUAAAGAGCAGCAAUGGAAUGCAUGGAAGUUCUCUCUUUGUGAAAUAGAGAGAUUGCAUAUCCCCAGGCCUUAUGUUUCUGUAUCUCUGUCCUCAACACAACACAGAGAACUUUGCGUCUUUUCUGAUGCCUCAUCAAUGGCAAUUGCCGCUGUUGCUUACAUACGCGUUCUCAGUGAAGAAGGAAAGUACCUCACUGGAUUUGUCAUGGGAAAAUCCAAGCUUGCACCGAAAAUCGCACAUACAAUACCACGAUUAGAGUUAUGUGCUGCGGUUCUUGCUGUGGAGAUGGCUGAGCUCAUUUGCCAGGAAAUGGACCUUGAGUUUCAAGCUGUAAAGUACUACACAGACAGCAAGAUCGUGUUAGGAUACAUCCAUAACACUUCAAGAAGGUUCUAUGUCUACGUAUCGAACAGAGUUUCAAGGAUCAGGAAGUCCACUAAACCCACUCAAUGGCACCAUGUCUCAACAGAGAACAAUCCAGCUGACUUUGCAACCAGGCCAAUAACAGUAGGCCUCCUGGAAAAAACAAGCUGGUUUACAGGGCCCUCCUUUCUGAAGGAAACUCAGCAGUUGUCUUCACUCCUGACACCAGCUGAAUUUGACUUUGUCAACCCAGAGCAAGACAUUGAGAUUCGUCCAGAAGUAGGU